GACGAACGCUGGCGGCGUGCCUAAUACAUGCAAGUAGAACGCUGAAGAGAGGAGCUUACUCUUCUUGGAUGAGUUGCGAACGGGUGAGUAACGCGUAGGUAACCUGCCUUGUAGCGGGGGAUAACUAUUGGAAACGAUAGCUAAUACCGCAUAACAAUGGAUGACACAUGUCAUUUAUUUGAAAGGGGCAAUUGCUCCACUACAAGAUGGACCUGCGUUGUAUUAGCUAGUAGGUGAGGUAAUGGCUCACCUAGGCGACGAUACAUAGCCGACCUGAGAGGGUGAUCGGCCACACUGGGACUGAGACACGGCCCAGACUCCUACGGGAGGCAGCCGUAGGGAAUCUUCGGCAAUAGGGGCAACACUGACCGAGCAACGCCGCGUGAGUGAAGAAGGUUUUCGGAUCGUAAAGCUCUGUUGUAAGUCAAGAACGGGUGUGAGAGUGGAAAGUUCACACUGUGACGGUAGCUUACCAGAAAGGGACGGCUAACUACGUG
This 497-nucleotide ribosomal RNA is filed under the name uncultured bacterium. RNAcentral describes it as "partial 16S ribosomal RNA". It matches the Rfam family "Bacterial small subunit ribosomal RNA", at positions 28 to 507 of the family's 1533-position model. The record is from RNAcentral.